AUCCAAAUGAAAAGUCCAAAAUAGGGCGAAACGCACGUCUUGGAU
Non-coding RNA from Schistosoma curassoni, 45 nucleotides. Lineage: Eukaryota; Metazoa; Platyhelminthes; Trematoda; Strigeidida; Schistosomatidae. The record is from Rfam.